UCAAUUUUGUCACAUGUGGCAGUCAAUUUGCAUAUGUGGACUGACACGUGGCACUUGGACACAGUGACACGUGUACUGUUCAAACGUUGAAAGUGACAAAACUAACGGAAAGGACUAACUUGAAACCUAAAAUAAACGUAAGGGACCAAAUUGAUACUUUUUAAACGUAAGGGACCAAAUUGAAACCUAAAAUAAACGUAAGGGACCAAAUAUGUAGUUAAGCCAUU
This 227-nucleotide long non-coding RNA is filed under the name Trifolium pratense (red clover). Its description in RNAcentral is "long non-coding RNA (TPRA_LNC012827)". The record is from RNAcentral. Lineage: Eukaryota; Viridiplantae; Streptophyta; Magnoliopsida; Fabales; Fabaceae.